RNAcentral lists this unclassified non-coding RNA (328 nucleotides) under uncultured fungus. Its description in RNAcentral is "sequence contains ITS2". The record is from RNAcentral. Lineage: Eukaryota; Fungi.
AACGCACAUUGCGCUCUCUGGUAUUCCGGAGAGCAUGCUUGUUUGAGUAUCAGUAAAACACCCUCAGCCUUUUCUUUAUUGAAAAGGCUGGACUUGAGUGAUCCCAACGGUUUUUUUUAAAGGCUGGCGGGUUGCUUGAAAUGCAGGUGCGGCUGGACACAUCUUCUGAGCUAUAAGCAUUACCUAUUUAGUCCCGUCAAACGGAUUAUUUCUAUUGCUACAGCUAAUAUAAAGGUUGAUUGUCCUGUGCCCGACUGAUGCAGGAAAACAUGGAGAAAUCCUUGUUCAACUCGAUCUCAAAUCAAGUAAGACUACCCGCUGAACUUAA